Molecule: long non-coding RNA, 1494 nt
Organism: Ahaetulla prasina
Lineage: Eukaryota; Metazoa; Chordata; Lepidosauria; Squamata; Colubridae
Exons: 2
Source: RefSeq, a predicted model, not a curated record
CCCCACCCUAAACAGAAACAUAAUUAAAAUCCAGAUUAAAAUCAAACAUGAAAAUAAUUAGCUAGAAAUCCACAACCAAUGCACAUUCACAUAUACAAUUUUGUACACCAUUCAUUCUUAUUCACAAAUAAAAAGGCUAGUAACAUUCUAACAAAAUCUUUCCUAUUGACACUAACUGAAGAGAGGAGGGGUGACAACUUUGUCAAAAUUGCAAUGUCAUGGAAAUGGGAGAUGAUGCUAUCAGGUUGAAGAAUUCAUCAGGGACAGAGGAUAAGAUUUGCAAGAUGGCCAGAAUAACAUGAUGCAACAAUCAAAUAUUACCACAAACAGUUGCAAUCCAUAUCAGACUGUAUAUUUUGAUGUCACCAGAUAUUGCCCACCAGAUUGCCCUGGCCUAUCCUAGCUGGCUAACCAAAUGGAAUGUAUGGCUACUAAGGGGUCUCACUGUCAUCUAGGCAUGUCUUAGCUUAUCCUUUUGCAACCCAGAUGCAACAGCCCAAACUUCAUACAUUGUGAUAGAACAAUGUUUUGAUAAAAUAAUGACAUCUUCACAAAGAGGUGAAGUUCUACAAAGCUUUUACUUCUAUGAUGCUUCAGCAGCUCAAGAGAAAGAAUGAAGAUUUUCUGGGAACGCAAUGGGAAACCAACAUAAUUUAAAACAUAGGCUAGGGAUGAGAAGGGGGUCAAGGUUGGAGGUAAAGUUAGGUUGCCAGGGGUUCAGAUGUUGCUAUAAAUGGCCAAUGAGGAAAGGCUCUACAUCUGACCACAGUAAAUAUUUCAGGGUUCUUUAACUCAUUCAGAGAAUCAGUAUUAUUUUUGCCAAAUUAGUUGGAUGCCCAGCUAAAGUUAUUUUUGGGAUUGUCUAUAGAGUUUCUCAAUCAUCUAAGUCAUGGUUGUCCCAAAGGUGCUUUUCCAAAAACAAUUGGUCUUUCUUGGGUUUUAUUCUUUGAAAACAUUUCACUUCUGAUCCAAGAAGCUUCUUCAGUUCUGGGAUUAUUUCAAACAUCCGUCUUUAAAAAAAAUCUACAAAUAAGACAUUCUAUUUCCCCUUUCCUUCUUCUUCCCUUAAUGAAUAUUGUUUGGACUGAGCUGUCAGGAAAAAGCAAGUUAUGCAGCCAAAUAAGUAAACAUGAAAUAUGAAAUGAAACGUUGGAGACAAGAUAAGGCAAUGAAGAUUAAGCAGAGCAUGGUGUUCUAUUAAAGGGUACAGAAGUGCAUUUAUUUUUGGACAAGUCAUCUAUUUAUAGAAGGACCAUCUUGCUGAAGCUCCUCUCUCCAGUAUAGGUCAAUUGUGAACAUAGCACAGGCUUUCCACAAACACAUUUUGCUAGAUUCAGCACUCAGAGGCCUGAUUCAUGACAGGAAUGAACUACGGGACUUUAUAUUUUUUUGUAUGCGAUACCAAUAUAUCUGUCCAAGGAUAGUUGUGAUUAUACAGGGCUGAGCACAAAUCAAGUAGCUAGACCAUGGCCCUCACUAGGAGUAUUUAAAUUU